CCGGACCUGACUGCUAUCGGAUUGGUACUAAGCCAUGCGAGUCAUUGUAGCAAUACAAGGCGGACGGCUCAGUAACACGUAGUCAACCUAACUCGUGGACGUGGAUAACCUCGGGAAACUGAGAAUAAACCACGAUAGAUCAUAGUGCCUGGAAUGGCUUAUGGUCCAAACAGUUUACUGCCAUGGGAUGGGACUGCGGCCUAUCAGCUUGUUGGUGAGGUAAUGGCCCACCAAGGCGAUUACAGGUACGGGCUCUGAGAGGAGAAGCCCGGAGAUGGGUACUGAGACACGGACCCAGGCCCUAUGGGGCGCAGCAGGCGAGAAACCUUAGCAAUGUGCGAAAGCACGACUGGGUCAGUCCGAGUGAUUCCUGAUAAAGGAGUCUUUUGCCUGUCCUAAAAACACAGGUGAAUAAGGGGUGGGCAAGUCUGGUGUCAGCCGCCGCGGUAAUACCAGCACCUCGAGUGGUCAGGACGUUUAUUGGGCCUAAAGCAUCCGUAGCCGGCUUUGCAAGUCUCCGGUUAAAUCCACCUGCUCAACAGAUGGGCCGCUGGAGAUACUACAGAGCUAGGGAGUGGGAGAGGCAGACGGUAUUCAGUGGGUAGGGGUAAAAUCCUCUGAUCCAUUGAGGACCACCAGUGGCGAAGGCGGUCUGCCAGAACACGUUCGACGGUGAGGGAUGAAAGCUGGGGGAGCAAACCGGAUUAGAUACCCGGGUAGUCCCAGCUGUAAACGAUGCAAACUCGGUGAUGCAUUGGCUUAUGGCCAAUGCAGUGCCGCAGGGAAGCCGUUAAGUUUGCCGCCUGGGAAGUACGGACGCAAGUCUGAAACUUAAAGGAAUUGGCGGGGGAGCACCACAAGGGUGAAGCCUGCGGUUCAAUUGGAGUCAACGCCGG
This 896-nucleotide ribosomal RNA is filed under the name uncultured archaeon. RNAcentral's name for it is "bacterial SSU rRNA". It matches the Rfam family "Archaeal small subunit ribosomal RNA", at positions 17 to 921 of the family's 1478-position model. The record is from RNAcentral.